GAGACAGAGAGAGAGAGAGAGAGAGAGAGGCAGAGACACAGGCAGGGGGAGAAGCAGGCUCCAUGCACCAGGAGCCCGACGUGGGAUUCGAUCCCGGGACCCCAGGAUCAUGACCUGGGCCAAAGGCAGACGCUCAACCGCUGAGCCACCCAGGAGCCCCAUACAGCCACUUUCUUGAUGAGGAGACAGAGGCACAGGAAGGUAGAUAGCCUGCUCCGGGUCAGGAAUUCACUCCUGCGUAGGCUGGCACACAAACCCAGGCAGGCUGCGCCUGGCUAUUUCCGAGUGGGGCUGUGGACGGAGGGGGAACCCUUCAGCGCUGAGCUCUGUGGCCCCUAGAGUUAGCACAUCCACGAAGGCCACUUUGUCACCAACCCAGGCAAAGGAGACAGAGAGGAAGAGAAAUGAUCAUUACAGAAAUCUUCGGAGCCGGAUAGUUAUCGCACCACCCUGCGGAUUAUAUAAGACGACAACUGUGACAACUGCUCGGACACCCGGCCGAGUGCCUGGCUCGCAGCGCAGGACAAGAAAAGACAACGAAUAGGAUUAGUUUCUUGAUAUUGUGAUUAUGGACGAGCUCAGAGCUUUCCCCUAAGCCACUCUGUUUUAUCUCUUAGUCCCUUUAUGUUGUCACAAGGUGGGCCAGGCUGGUGGCCCUGGGCUUCCUGCCGGUAGAGCCAUAUCCGUGAUCACAUCACUCAAAGGGGGAAUGUCCCUGUCAGCCGAUGACAGGAUGAUUGGGGUGGGGUCCAGCCAAGCCCUAAGAGAUGAUUCAGCCAUAAAAAGGAAUGAGAGUCCAGUGGGCGUAGCUGGAAAUCCCAUGCCUCUUGACCACAGUGCAAGCAGGAAAUGUAAUACUGAUAUCAUCCUCAGUCGUCUUGCAAAUUUUUCCAGUUGUUCCAAUAAGACCCAGACCCGUGCUGUCCUCUGCAGCGGCCUCCAGUCACAUGCACCUGCCUGCUGAGUAACUGAAAUGUGGGGAGUAUGAACUGAGAUGUGCCGUGAAUGUAACACACACCCCAGAUUUCAGACUUACUGUAAAGAAAU
RNAcentral lists this long non-coding RNA (1047 nucleotides) under Vulpes vulpes (red fox). Its description in RNAcentral is "lncRNA (ENSVVUG00000023519.1)". Lineage: Eukaryota; Metazoa; Chordata; Mammalia; Carnivora; Canidae. The record is from RNAcentral.